GAUGAAGAACGUAGCGAAAUGCGAUACUUGGUGUGAAUUGCAGAAUCCCGUGAACCAUCGAGUCUUUGAACGCAAGUUGCGCCCGAAGCCACUAGGCCGAGGGCACGCCUGCCUGGGCGUCACACGCCGUUGCCCCCCCAUCUACUCCUUCGGGAUUGCGGGGGGGCGGAUGAUGGCCUCCUGUGCGCCUAGCCGCGCGGUUGGCAUAAAUACCAAGUCCUCGGCGACGCACGCCACGACAAUCGGUGGUUGCGAAACCGCGGUUGCCCGUCGUGUGCGUUCGUCGCGCAUCGAGGGCUCGAAAAAAUGCUCGGCUCCGGCUGGGCUUUCAACGCGAACCCAGGUCAGGCGGGGUUACCCGCUGAAUUUAAGCAUAUCAAUAAGCGGAGGA
Molecule: unclassified non-coding RNA, 391 nt
Filed under: soil metagenome
Description: partial contains 5.8S ribosomal RNA, internal transcribed spacer 2, and large subunit ribosomal RNA
Rfam family: 5.8S ribosomal RNA (bases 1-122)
Source: RNAcentral